CCUACGGGAGGCAGCAGUGGGGAAUAUUGCACAAUGGGGGAAACCCUGAUGCAGCGACGCCGCGUGAGUGAAGAAGUAUUUCGGUAUGUAAAGCUCUAUCAGCAGGGAAGAAAAUGACGGUACCUGAUUAAGAAGCCCCGGCUAACUACGUGCCAGCAGCCGCGGUAAUACGUAGGGGGCAAGCGUUAUCCGGAUUUACUGGGUGUAAAGGGCGUGUAGGCGGGAAAGCAAGUCAGAUGUGAAAACUCAGGGCUCAACCCUGAGACUGCAAUUGAAACUGUUUGUCUUGAGUGCUGGAGAGGCAAUCGGAAUUCGGUGUGUAGCGGUGAAAUGCGUAGAUAUAAGGAGGAACACCAGUGGCGAAGGCGGAUUGCUGGACAGUAACUGACGCUGAGGCGCGAAAGCGUGGGGAGCAAACAGGAUUAGAUACCCUGGUAGUC
This 440-nucleotide ribosomal RNA is filed under the name uncultured bacterium. Its description in RNAcentral is "partial 16S ribosomal RNA". It matches the Rfam family "Bacterial small subunit ribosomal RNA", at positions 338 to 795 of the family's 1533-position model. The record is from RNAcentral.